AGAGUUUGAUCCUGGCUCAGGACGAACGCUGGCGGCACGCUUAACACAUGCAAGUCGAACGAGAGAAGAGGAGCUUGCUUUUCUGAUCUAGUGGCGGACGGGUGAGUAACACGUGAGCAAUCUGCCUUUCAGAGGGGGAUACCGAUUGGAAACGAUCGUUAAUACCGCAUAACAUAAUUGAACCGCAUGAUUUGAUUAUCAAAGAUUUAUCGCUGAAAGAUGAGCUCGCGUCUGAUUAGCUAGUUGGUAAGGUAACGGCUUACCAAGGCGACGAUCAGUAGCCGGACUGAGAGGUUGAUCGGCCACAUUGGGACUGAGACACGGCCCAGACUCCUACGGGAGGCAGCAGUGGGGAAUAUUGCACAAUGGAGGAAACUCUGAUGCAGCGAUGCCGCGUGAGGGAAGAAGGUUUUAGGAUUGUAAACCUCUGUCUUCAGGGACGAAAAAAGACGGUACCUGAGGAGGAAGCUCCGGCUAACUACGUGCCAGCAGCCGCGGUAAUACGUAGGGAGCGAGCGUUGUCCGGAAUUACUGGGUGUAAAGGGAGCGUAGGCGGGAUCGCAAGUCAGAUGUGAAAACUAUGGGCUUAACCCAUAAACUGCAUUUGAAACUGUGGUUCUUGAGUGAAGUAGAGGUAAGCGGAAUUCCUAGUGUAGCGGUGAAAUGCGUAGAUAUUAGGAGGAACAUCAGUGGCGAAGGCGGCUUACUGGGCUUUAACUGACGCUGAGGCUCGAAAGCGUGGGGAGCAAACAGGAUUAGAUACCCUGGUAGUCCACGCCGUAAACGAUGAUUACUAGGUGUGGGGGGACUGACCCCUUCCGUGCCGCAGCAAACGCAAUAAGUAAUCCACCUGGGGAGUACGACCGCAAGGUUGAAACUCAAAGGAAUUGACGGGGGCCCGCACAAGCAGUGGAGUAUGUGGAUUAAUUCGAAGCAACGCGAAGAACCUUACCAGGUCUUGACAUCGUAUGCAUAGCUCAGAGAUGAGUGAAAUCUCUUCGGAGACAUAUAGACAGGUGGUGCAUGGUUGUCGUCAGCUCGUGUCGUGAGAUGUUGGGUUAAGUCCCGCAACGAGCGCAACCCUUACUGUUAGUUGCUACGCAAGAGCACUCUAGCAGGACUGCCGUUGACAAAACGGAGGAAGGUGGGGAUGACGUCAAGUCAUCAUGCCCCUUAUGACCUGGGCCUCACACGUACUACAAUGGCUGUCAACAGAGGGAAGCAAAGCCGCGAGGUGGAGCGAACCCCUAAAAGCAGUCUUAGUUCGGAUUGUAGGCUGCAACCCGCCUACAUGAAGUCGGAAUUGCUAGUAAUCGCAGAUCAGCAUGCUGCGGUGAAUACGUUCCCGGGCCUUGUACACACCGCCCGUCACGCCAUGGGAGUCGGUAACACCCGAAGCCUGUAGUCUAACCGCAAGGAGGACGCAGUCGAAGGUGGGAUUGAUGACUGGGGUGAAGUCGUAACAAGGUA
This 1470-nucleotide ribosomal RNA is filed under the name metagenome. RNAcentral describes it as "bacterial SSU rRNA". It matches the Rfam family "Bacterial small subunit ribosomal RNA". The record is from RNAcentral.